CAGUAGCCGCGGUAAUACAGAGGGUGCGAGCGUUAAUCGGAUUUACUGGGCGUAAAGCGUGCGUAGGCGGCUUCUUAAGUCGGAUGUGAAAUCCCUGAGCUUAACUUAGGAAUUGCAUUCGAUACUGGGAAGCUAGAGUAUGGGAGAGGAUGGUAGAAUUCCAGGUGUAGCGGUGAAAUGCGUAGAGAUCUGGAGGAAUACCGAUGGCGAAGGCAGCCAUCUGGCCUAAUACUGACGCUCAUGCACGAAAGCGUGGGGAGCAAACAGGAUUAGAGACCCCCGUAGUCCCUGUCUCUUAUAC
Molecule: ribosomal RNA, 301 nt
Filed under: uncultured bacterium
Lineage: Bacteria
Description: partial 16S ribosomal RNA
Rfam family: Bacterial small subunit ribosomal RNA
Source: RNAcentral